RNAcentral lists this unclassified non-coding RNA (671 nucleotides) under Hevea brasiliensis (rubber tree). The record is from RNAcentral. Lineage: Eukaryota; Viridiplantae; Streptophyta; Magnoliopsida; Malpighiales; Euphorbiaceae.
CUGGAAAUAAUAAUGGUUUGAGAGAUUCAUCUCUCAGGAGCAUGUAAUUUUGCUAAUAAAGCAAGAUCUUUCUUGACAACCGCCCUGUGAAACUUCCCCUCGUCUUGAUUCCUCAUAAACCUGGCACAUGAUUUACAAACCAUAAGGAAAUUAUACAUGGCAAGAGAAAUUCCAUUUCUCACUAUCUGUCCUUAUUCCCUGUAAAGUUUAGACUCAUCAAACUUAUUAAACUAGUCUACUAGUUCAGGUCAAGAUAGGUAGUGUAAGUGUGUAACGAUGAAAUGUGGUGGAGUAGCUGCGUGUAGACAUGGGCCCAUUCUGGAUUUGGACUGGAAUCAAGUCAAGCCCGGAUUUGAUGAGAACUGUCUUGACUCUUGAAUUGGACCGGACCAAUUUUAUAUGAUUUAGUUUGGAUCUGCGUCAAAACAGGAUUUUUAACUUUUUUAAAAAAUUUUAAAGAAUUUAAAUUUUUUAUUUUUGAAUUUGAUCAAACUGGAUGAACUGAAUCGAAAUUGAACCGGAACUGGGACCGGAAUCGAGGAGUACCCUUCAGUCUAGCCUAGGAUCCCCAUCCCUUCGAAUGGGAACUGCUGGUCUGGUUGUGGUUCCAGCCCUAACCGAGACCGUGCCCAUGUCUAGCUACAGCCUGCAGGGAAAGGAGCUAGAGGUGG